RNAcentral lists this transfer RNA (82 nucleotides) under Canis lupus familiaris (dog). It matches the Rfam family "tRNA". Rfam says of the family: Transfer RNA (tRNA) molecules are approximately 80 nucleotides in length. Their secondary structure includes four short double-helical elements and three loops (D, anti-codon, and T loops). RNAcentral also lists the same sequence under 2 other names. The record is from Rfam by way of RNAcentral. Lineage: Eukaryota; Metazoa; Chordata; Mammalia; Carnivora; Canidae.
GCUCAGUUGGUUAAGUGUCAGACUCUUGAUUUAGGUUCAGGUCAUGAUCUCAGGAUUGUGGGAUCAAGUCCCACAUUGAGCU